Molecule: transfer RNA, 73 nt
Filed under: Ailuropoda melanoleuca (giant panda)
Lineage: Eukaryota; Metazoa; Chordata; Mammalia; Carnivora; Ursidae
Rfam family: tRNA
About the family: Transfer RNA (tRNA) molecules are approximately 80 nucleotides in length.
Source: Rfam by way of RNAcentral
GCCCAGCUGGCUCAGUUGGUGGAGCAUGCAACUCUUGAUUGUGGAGUUGUGGGUUUGAGCCCCACACUGGGUG